Molecule: long non-coding RNA, 623 nt
Organism: Hordeum vulgare subsp. vulgare (domesticated barley)
Lineage: Eukaryota; Viridiplantae; Streptophyta; Magnoliopsida; Poales; Poaceae
Exons: 3
Source: RefSeq, a predicted model, not a curated record
CCUCUUGGGAACCAAGGAACGAACUAGCCGAGAAGUCGGGUGGAGAUGCUCCCCCUUGUAGGUGACAAGGAAGAUAAGGUCUAGCAAGGCAGUACUCCCAUACCCAGGACCCGUUCAUUUCAGUGGUUGAUGGUACAUUACGGUUUGGCACACAGAUGCUGAGUGAGUUGAGGGACGCCAGUAAAUUGGUAUGGGGGCAACACUUUUGUGAAGCUGCAUAUGUUGUACUCAGGCGAACUGUGAGGGUUUGUUCAACCCCAGGACGAUUCAUGCGAUUAGGAUGGUGCUUCUGUUUUCUUGUUUUGCUGCCAUAUGUUUAGACCCUGAACUGCUGGAACUGCAUCCAUGCCUCCAGAAUGGCCGCAGGGCUAUCAUCAGCAUCGUCGAUCUAACAACCGAUUCUUCUGAGAAAGGACUUAAGGUACUCAACCUAUUGAUGCACAUGGACAUGAUGACUCUCUAGCGUUUAUGGACCAACCAACCUGUAAUCAUGGACCUUAUUGUCUUGUAGACCAUUUGGUGUUUCGAGUGUUUUGGAGCUUGCACUUUGUGCAUGUAGAUACAAACUUAUGUGUUCUGGACCAUCUGAAGUCUCUCAUAGUAACCAAUAGUCCUUAUCUUUU